This 215-nucleotide long non-coding RNA is filed under the name Elaeis guineensis (African oil palm). RNAcentral's name for it is "long non-coding RNA (EGUI_LNC059979)". Lineage: Eukaryota; Viridiplantae; Streptophyta; Magnoliopsida; Arecales; Arecaceae. The record is from RNAcentral.
CUCUCCCUCCCCUCUUCAUGUCCAAGAGGUUGGGCAUCCAUCUGGUGCUUGUCCAAGGCAUGGUGGCUCUCUGAUUAGAAGGCUGCAGAGAUUUAUCGAGAAGGCAAUGUGAUUAUUAUGUGCCUGCAGCAAGCAAAAAUUUGAUUUCUGUUUCAUAUUUAGCACAAGAAGGCUAUGUGAUUAGCUUUCAUAAGAACCAUUGUAACAUAUUUUAU